Molecule: long non-coding RNA, 823 nt
Organism: Osmia lignaria (orchard mason bee)
Lineage: Eukaryota; Metazoa; Arthropoda; Insecta; Hymenoptera; Megachilidae
Source: RefSeq, a predicted model, not a curated record
ACAUACAUAUAAUGUACAUGGAAAAUAAUAAGAUAAGAAAUUAUACGUGUUCCGCCUCUCGAAUAGUUUUCCGUUUAGAGUAUCCUGUAUCAAAGCUGGUUAGGACGUAUAUGGGAACAUGUGUCUAGCUCGAAACAAAUUAUAAUUACAAAUGUAAAGCAGGAAUUCAGAAUUUUGCUGGGUGAGAUGUAGAGAGAGAAAGAAAGAAAGGGAGGAAUGAAAACAUGGCUGUAACCGACUACGAAAUUUAUUAAGGACUCCUAACGAGAAAAGAAACAACGCUCGGUGAAUCACGAGAUAAUUAUCUUACGAGCACGAACAGUAUUUUUAUCGGAGCUAUAUUUGCGUUCGUGGCGGUGGUUCACGAAUAAAGAAUCAAGAACAACCAAGAACGAAUAUUAUAUUACAUAAAUCCAAGCGAGAAACUGAUUGGCCGUGAGAAAGGUUUUUACGUGUUGUGUAUACGGGCCUGGGCGAAUGCUAUGAAGUUAUCGACGACGUGAAUUACAGCUCGCGCACUAAAUUCCGAGUUUAAUCUCUUUAGAGAUGUCAUACGUUUGUGUAAUAUUGAAAUCCUUAAACGUAAAUGCUGCUAUGUCAAGCAAAUGACGCAAUUUCCACGAUGGCAAAAAUGGAUCUUUUAUCCGAAACAAUUUUAAUGCAAUUUUACGAAUAGAGCCUUGAUUCUCGAGCGAACGAAAAAAAAAAAAACUCGUAGAAAGAUAAUGCGUUUAUAUUUAAAGCAGAUAUUGAACGGCUUUGCAAUACCAAACGAAUCGCGUUGGAAAUUACAGUCAAGCAAGCGACGAAAGAGAGAAGAAAA